This 305-nucleotide ribosomal RNA is filed under the name uncultured bacterium. Its description in RNAcentral is "partial 16S ribosomal RNA". The record is from RNAcentral.
UUGAGUCUCGGUCGUUGGCGCCAUUAUGCCUCCCCCAAUCGCAACAAGCCUUAAUGCCCCGCAUUUCGCGCGCAUCCGCCUAAUCAGUCAAUCUCCACUAUAGGGUCUCUAGUUGGGACCUUGACGGAAAUUAUGACGAUCAGAACUCAAGCUCUCUCCACUCACCUUAAGGCUCACAUCUCCACUUUAAGCAUCUAUAUUCCCUCCUUGUGGUCACCGCUUCCGCCGAGUGACCGAGCUAUGACUGCGACUCCACGCUUUCACACCCCUCGUAAGUCCUAAUCUAUGGGACAUCAGGUGUGGCA